RNAcentral lists this ribosomal RNA (371 nucleotides) under Clarias gariepinus (North African catfish). Its description in RNAcentral is "partial small subunit ribosomal RNA". It matches the Rfam family "Bacterial small subunit ribosomal RNA", at positions 702 to 1229 of the family's 1533-position model. The record is from RNAcentral. Lineage: Eukaryota; Metazoa; Chordata; Actinopteri; Siluriformes; Clariidae.
CGGAGCCCUAAACACGAAAAGUAGCUCUAAACAAACCCUGAUGCCACGAAAAGCCAAGAAACAAAACUGGGAUUAGAUACCCCCACUAUGCUUGGCUAUAAACCCAGAUGUAACCUUACAUACACAUCCGCCAGGGCUACUACGAGCGCAGCUUAAAACCCAAAGGACUUGGCGGUGUCUCAGACCCACCUAGAGGAGCCUGUUCUAGAACCGAUAACCCCCGUUAAACCUCACCACUUCUUGUCUUUCCCGCCUAUAUACCGCCGUCGUCAGCUUUCCCCUGUGAAGGCCUAACAGUAAGCAAAAUGGGGCACACCCAAAAACGUCAGGUCGAGGUGUAGCUUACGAAGUGGGAUAGAAAUGGGCCUACA